This is a non-coding RNA of Pangasius djambal, 74 nucleotides long. Lineage: Eukaryota; Metazoa; Chordata; Actinopteri; Siluriformes; Pangasiidae. The record is from the annotation of a GenBank genome assembly.
GGCAUGGUGGCUUAAUGGUUAGCAUAUUUGCCUUGUACCUCCAAAGGUUGGGGGUUCAAAUCCUGCCUCUGCGU